This 269-nucleotide long non-coding RNA is filed under the name Fragaria vesca (wild strawberry). RNAcentral describes it as "long non-coding RNA (FVES_LNC002283)". Lineage: Eukaryota; Viridiplantae; Streptophyta; Magnoliopsida; Rosales; Rosaceae. The record is from RNAcentral.
AUAGAUUUUCUUUCUACAAACACAGUUCGAACUCCUACAACUGUACCAUAUACAGUAACUGAAAUCCUCUUUAUACUGUAACAUUUGAUAUUUAGCAUUCAUAUCUUGUAGUCUGAAGUUUUUAUGAUCUCCAGGAGACUGGUACUAUACCAAGCUUCUAUAGUUCUAUUUACAUUAUUCUUGUACCAAGUUACUGUUAUUACAAUUUGCACCUCCAAAUUUAGGAUUACCUUUUUCUUCCCCAGCUGGGAGUUGGUGCAGUAGCUACU